AAGCAGCGGAGCGUGUGGUUUAAUUCGAUGUUACACGAAGAACCUUACCAGGGUUUGACAUGCAAGUGGUAGGAAGCCGAAAGGUGACCGACCUUCGGGGAGCUUGCACAGGUGCUGCAUGGCUGUCGUCAGCUCGUGCCGUGAGGUGUCCGGUUAAGUCCGGUAACGACGCGCAACCCCACUGUAUGUUACAAGUGUCAUACGGAACUGCCGGUAUCAAGCCGGAGGAAGGUGGGAUGACGUCAAGUCAGCAUGGCCUUUAUAUCCGGGGCUACACACACGCUACAAUGGCCAGUACAAUGGGUUUGCAAGACCGCGAGGUGGAGCCAAUCCUCAAAGCUGGUCUCAGUUCAGAUUGUAGGCUGCAACCCGCCUACAUGAAGUCGGAGUUGCUAGUAACCGCAGGCCAGCCAUACUGCGGUGAAUACGUUCUCGGGGAUU
Molecule: ribosomal RNA, 441 nt
Filed under: uncultured Anaerolineaceae bacterium
Lineage: Bacteria; Bacillati; Chloroflexota; Anaerolineae; Anaerolineales; Anaerolineaceae
Description: bacterial SSU rRNA
Rfam family: Bacterial small subunit ribosomal RNA
Source: RNAcentral